GUGCUUGCUUUGGCAGAACAUAUACUAAAAUUGGAACGAAACAGAGACGAUUAGCAUGGCCCCUGCACAAGGAUGACACACAAAUUUAUGAAGCAUUCCAUAUUUUU
Delphinapterus leucas (beluga whale) is the source of this 107-nucleotide small nuclear RNA. The record is from Ensembl. Lineage: Eukaryota; Metazoa; Chordata; Mammalia; Artiodactyla; Monodontidae.